CCACUUGGUCUGUCUCUCUUUCCAUCCUUUUCAUUCUCUCAUCUCUCUCUCAUUUGUGCUAUCCCAACCCAGAACCUUCUCAUCACCGACCCCCUCACUCUAUCUCAUCAACGAUUGUGAGAGUCUUUCUCCCAAUCCAGAACCUUUUCUUCUCGUUGUCGAUCGGUCUCUCAUAGUCGACAUCCUACCCCCCUCUUUCUCUCUAUCUCUUUCAUCUCUCUUCGGUGAACAACAGUUGACGAGGAUCUAACAUCACAAACCCCUCUUCGAUGAACAUCAGUCGACAAGAUCAAAGAUCACAAACCCACAUCGCAAAUCGAAGCCCUAUUCAUAGAUCACAUAUUACAGGCCCAAACUCGCAAGCAUAUUGAAAUAUAGAUAUAUUGAUUAGGCAUUGUUUUCCUAAAAGGGAUGCUGGUGAUGGCCAAGGUACUGCAAAGACAUUGUUGGAUAAAAUAGCCAAUAUGGAAAGCGAGGCACAAAAGUCCUUUAUGCACCGUUGUAAGUGUCAGCAAUAAUCACUUGCACCAGUCUGAAGAACUUAAAUCAACUAGGCAUUACUUAGAAGGCUCCUGGGUGGCAAGGUAAUGAAUAGAGUAGUUAUCGGAUUUGAAAUUUCAAAUUUCACCAAAAAUUGAGACAAAAAUUACGCGUUGUUUUGAUGCUUGGCUUGUUUAAUAAUCAAGUCAAGUUUGAGUAGAGAGCUUGGUUUGAAUGGGUUCGUAGACACAAAG
Molecule: non-coding RNA, 734 nt
Organism: Camellia sinensis
Lineage: Eukaryota; Viridiplantae; Streptophyta; Magnoliopsida; Ericales; Theaceae
Source: RefSeq, a predicted model, not a curated record